GAUGAACGCUAGCGGCAGGCCUAACACAUGCAAGUCGAGGGGUAGAAUUAGCUUGCUAAUUUGAGACCGGCGCACGGGUGCGUAACGCGUAUGCAAUCUACCUUGUACAGGGGGAUAGCCCAGAGAAAUUUGGAUUAAUACCCCAUGGUAUAAUUAAUUUGCAUGAAUUGAUUAUUAAAGUUCCAACGGUACAAGAUGAGCAUGCGUCCCAUUAGCUAGUUGGUGUGGUAACGGCAUACCAAGGCGACGAUGGGUAGGGGUCCUGAGAGGGAGAUCCCCCACACUGGUACUGAGACACGGACCAGACUCCUACGGGAGGCAGCAGUGAGGAAUAUUGGUCAAUGGUCGGAAGACUGAACCAGCCAUGCCGCGUGCAGGAAGAAGCAUCUAUGGUGUGUAAACUGCUUUUGUACGGGAAGAAACACUCCUACGUGUAGGAGCUUGACGGUACCGUAAGAAUAAGGAUCGGCUAACUCCGUGCCAGCAGCCGCGGU
RNAcentral lists this ribosomal RNA (494 nucleotides) under uncultured bacterium. RNAcentral describes it as "bacterial SSU rRNA". It matches the Rfam family "Bacterial small subunit ribosomal RNA", at positions 28 to 521 of the family's 1533-position model. The record is from RNAcentral.